Molecule: ribosomal RNA, 497 nt
Filed under: uncultured bacterium
Lineage: Bacteria
Description: partial 16S ribosomal RNA
Rfam family: Bacterial small subunit ribosomal RNA
Source: RNAcentral
GAUGAACGCUGGCGGCGUGCCUAAUACAUGCAAGUCGAGCGAACAGAUGUGGAGCUUGCUCCUCUGACGUUAGCGGCGGACGGGUGAGUAACACGUGGAUAACCUACCUAUAAGACUGGGAUAACUUCGGGAAACCGGAGCUAAUACCGGAUAAUAUAUUGAACCGCAUGGUUCAAUAGUGAAAGACGGUUUUGCUGUCACUUAUAGAUGGAUCCGCGCCGCAUUAGCUAGUUGGUAAGGUAACGGCUUACCAAGGCAACGAUGCGUAGCCGACCUGAGAGGGUGAUCGGCCACACUAGAACUGAGACACGGUCCAGACUCCUACGGGAGGCAGCAGUAGGGAAUCUUCCGCAAUGGGCGAAAGCCUGACGGAGCAACGCCGCGUGAGUGAUGAAGGUCUUCGGAUCGUAAAACUCUGUUAUUAGGGAAGAACAAAUGUGUAAGUAACUAUGCACGUCUUGACGGUACCUAAUCAGAAAGCCACGGCUAACUACGUG